GAUUAUCUUCCCCCCCCCCAAAUCCCGUCUUUGUUCUCUCUCGUAACGUAGAGAAAAUUUUUUUUAGAGAGUAAAUAGAAAAGGGAGAAACUUUUCACUGAAUUCUUUGAUUUUUACUCAGAGAAAGAAAGAUCGAUGAGAAGUCAUGGUUUGGAUUCCGUCCGUCGAGCUCUUGGAUUAAUAUGUUUCUAUUUUUUGUCCAAAAUUCUGAAAAAAUUUCUCAUUUGUUUUUGAUACAUCUUGGGACUUGUGCUGCGAGAAAUCUUAUACUUCUUGUCUCGUAGAGAAAACAACGACAGAACAUGAAGACGCCUUGUGGGUUCUAGAAACUCACCUGGUAGUGUGGAUGUCAAGGAUCAAUGGGAACACUUGUCUGGAUAUAGAGGUAUUAUUGGUCAUAAAAGGGUUAUGGUAUUCCUGGGGGGAAAAACAGCAGCUCUUCUGAGAAAACCAAAUCAGAAUGGGUGUGCACGAGUUUCACUACACCCUCUUACCUGAAGUCUGAAGACAAGGAAUUCAUAUAACACUCUUUAUCUCUUUGGUUUAUGAUCUGAUUCAUAUGACUUUCUUAGGAUGCUUGUUUUGUGUCAAUAGUUGUGUGCUAAUUACUCAUCAAUGCUAUAAAUUAUAUAUUAGUUGUUAAGGGAUGUUUUUACCGACAAAAUAGAAGUUGAGGUUUGAAAUCUCUUUUUGGCUUACCUUUUAACACUUGUGAAUCUUAUGUGCUUUGUUACUAGUUUUUGUACAGAGAACCUACGCGUGCUUGCAGUCGGAAAGUUUUAUUAUUUAUGGCUUUGUUAUUUUAUUGUCAGGAGAUGUAUGGCAUUUGCAUAGUUGAAUCAAUGGUUAGGUGUUAUGAGAAUGUCGUGGCUUGUUUUUGAAUAUAGCUAGGAUAUAAUCGAUCAAAGAUCUUGAAACAGGUGAUCUUGUGUGGGUUUUAAAAAGUGAACGCUAAGGCAUGAGGCGACCUCAGUUGGAGAGGUCAUCGCCUUGCAGAGGUGAGGCGAUGCGUUUUCAGGAAGGCGACGCUCCACCACGCUUCACACCGCCUUUGACGCCUCACGCCUCACGCCUCACACGCAUUGGACGCCUCUGCAUAAAAAAAGGGCGGACAAGCUUUUGUCUGCAGAGUUCCAGCCUUCUCUAGAGGAGUUGAUACCGUUUCUGCCACAAAAUCGUUAGUUUUUGAUGUAUUCCGCUACAUUUCAUGUCACUGUAAAGGCUUUUAAGGAUCGACGCUAUUUGUUAUCAACCUCAUGGAUGUUGUUUAAGUAUUUUGGAUUUUUAAAACGUGAGAAUCCUUUUUGAAUGUUUAAAACUUGGUGUGUUGCAAAAGAAAUAUAUUUAACACAUGUAAAACUCUAAAAUAUAUAUAAUAUUAAAAAGGGGAAAAAAAAUUUAUAAAAAAAAAUUCACAUGCCGUCAUAUAUAGAUUUAGUGAUAUUCUACAAAAAAUUUCAUCAAAAACGGAUAUAAAAUCAACGCGAAAGAUAAACAUUUAUCAUCAUUUUUAGAUUUUAAAACCGUUUAUGUUUCAUAAAAUUUGUUUUGUUUUAUUCAUGUUAAAAUAAUAAUAUAAAAAAUACUCAUGUAAAACGUGCAGCCGUUAUAUACAUAAAUUUAAUAUUCUAAUUAUACUUAGUAAUUCUUGGUAAUCUUCAAGGUAGUAGUAAUACCACCUUACACAUAGUAAUACUUUGGUAAAUUUUAAGUUUUAUUAGUAAAACCAUGUCCAAAUGUAAUAUUUUGUAGUAAAACCAAUGAUUUUAUACAGUGUAUGUCAUUAAGGAAAAAUAUUACAUAAACAGUUUACCAGAAAUAAGUAUUUUUAUAGAUUCUCCUUACUAUAGUCUAACGAUUCACAUAACAACCAUGAAAGUUAAGGCAUCAUUUUGGGAAAAUGGUAAAUAUUCCUAAAACUAUAGAAAAUAAUCAUCUAAAUAGUUUUAAUAGUCUUAUUUACUAUAUACAUUGUCUACUAAUAGAUAAUAUAUGAGUUCUAUAUGUUAAAUAUACGUACUACUUGCAAUAUAUAUGGGUUUCAAAUUACACAUAAUAAAACCAAGUAAUCCUAGUAGUCAGAAUUAACAUAAUAAACCCAGUAAUCCUAGUAUUCCGAAUUACACACAGUAAAUUCAGGAAUCUUAGUAGUCGGAUUACACACAAUAAACCCAGUAAUCCUAGUUGUCAGGUUAUACACAAUGAAAACAUAAUAAAUAAAAGCUUGUCUUAAUUAUUCCUCUACAUGCCAUUGCGUAUGAUACAUCCACACCAAUCCUGUGUAUAACCAAAUCAAUGUUACUGUCCUUUCUGAAAGUUUUCUAGGUAAAAGUUAUCUAAAUUUUCAGAACAACGAUCUCAGGGAACAAUUAUAUAUUUGCAUCAUCACUUUUAGGGUAAUUCAGUUUUCAGUUAUUUCGGUUAGUUAUUUUAGUCCGCUCAAAAAAUUUAUCAGAAAUUAUGAGACUUUGUUAAGAACUAUCAGCAGAUUCUCCACGCUAGUGUGGUUGGUCACGAGCUUGAUGUGGAGAAGCAAAGAUAUGGGGUAUGUUCUGAUGAAGUAUCCAAAGCUGUUAGGGUUUAAGCUCGAAGGGAUAAUGAGUACAUCAAUUGCUUAUUUAGUACGCAUUGGUGUGAGUCCUAGAGAUAUUGGUCCAGUUGUGACUCAAUAUCCUCAUCUAUUGAGAAUGAGAGCUGGAACAAUGAUCAAACCUCUUGCAGAUUACCUCAUUUCCAUCAGAAUUGUGGCUAGGAUUGGUAGAGAAACAUGCUUAUAUCGCCGGGUACAGCCUCAAGGAGACUGUUAAACAAAUUUAGAUUGUUUGAUUAGCUUUGGCGUCAAGGAAUAGUUGCAUACUUUAUUUAAUGAUAUUCCAGAAUUUUUUUUUUUUCAAAUUUUUUUUCUUCCAAAAUAAAAUUGCUAACUUUGGUUACCGGUAAAGGACAAGAUGUCUACACAACACUACUUUUUCAGCGUGAAGCUCAAGAUUGAUCCUGAAGGAUUUGCUCGUGUUGUUGAGUAGAUGCCAGAAGUUGUAAGCCUUAAGCAGUUAAGCAUAACGUGAUAAUGAAACCUUUAAUGAUAUUCCAGAAUUUUUUUUUUUUCAAAUUUUUUUUCUUCCAAAAUAAAAUUGCUAACUUUGGUUACCGGUAAAGGACAAGAUGUCUACACAACACUACUUUUUCAGCGUGAAGCUCAAGAUUGAUCCUGAAGGAUUUUUUUUCGUCAAGGAAUAGUUGCUAACUUUGGUUACCGGUAAAGGACAAGAUGUCUACACAACACUACUUUUUCAGCGUGAAGCUCAAGAUUGAUCCUGAAGGAUUUGCUCGUUUUGUUGAGUAGAUGCCACGAGUUGUAAGCCUUAAGCAGUUAAGCAUAACGUGAUAGUGAAACCUUUUAGAGUUUCUGUUAGGAAUUUAUGGAACUGGUUCCUCAACUGCAGUGACAAAAGGUUUGAGGAACGGUUGGAAUGUAACUUUACUGAUGCAUUUAUGCCUAGUAAAUAGUAAUGGUAGUGAAGAAGUUGUAUCUUGCGUUAUUUACAUUAUCUAUGAGAUACAUCUUGUUUUAAUGAUAUUUCAGAAAAUAAUAUCUUCAAAAUCAGACAUAAUAAACCCACAAAAAAAAAACAGUUUUAAAAUUUAUUUUCAUUUUUUCAAAAUACUCAUCAAAUCUUACAUUCUUUACUUUACCCACGAUGUCUACUUUAUUUAAUGAUAUUCCAGAAUUUUUUUUUUUUCAAAUUUUUUUUCUUCCAAAAGUAGGCAUAAUAAACCCACCAAUUGAUAAAUACAUAGUUUUUUUUAAAAAAAUCCAGUCUCUCAAAAUACUCAUCAAAAUUUACAUUUUUUACUUUACCCAUGAUGUAUACGUUGUUUUAAUGAUAUUUCAUUAAAAAAAAUCAAAAACACGGCAAUAAUAAACCCCUCCAACCCAUAAAUACAGUUUUUAAAAUCAUUUUCAAUCUCUCGAAAUAGUCAUCAAAUCUUACAUUCUUCUUAUUACUCAUGAUGUAAAAUUCAUUAUAAUGAUAAUUCUGAACAAAUUUCAUCAAAAACAGAUGUGUUAUUACAUAUUCUUUAAAGCUUCAGUUCAUCAAUACGGAGGAAGGAGGACACAUAUGUGGAGACGAAGAAAAAAAUUGGACCCCACCUAAAUUUAAUUGGUUAAGAUUUAUUGUGGAACCCAUAUGUGAAUUGAUUUGUAAAUAGUUUGUUUAAUUCAUGAAUUGGUGAAGUGGCCAUCCGUUUCUAAAAAAUAGACUUUUUAGUAUUUUCGCACAUAUUAAAAAAACGCGUUAAACUAUCAUAAUAAGUGUAUCAUUUUCUGUAAUUUUCAAUUUUCAAUAACUUUUAGCCAAUAGUAAUUCAAUAAAGUCAAUUAAUUCUCUUGAAGUUUACAAUUUUUUCAUAGAAAACACCAAAAAUAUAUCUUUCUGAAACAAAUUUUUUUUCUAAAAAAUCUAUCAUUAAGGAACGGAUGGAGUAUUAAACAAUUAUAAGGUAAUUUAGGAAUAACAAGGAGAGAAGGAUACUGAAAAUAGAGAAGAGAUAAAGAUUUUCUUUUAAAAGGGCAUAUUAAGUUAAAGUCCGUUGGGGAUUCUACUAAGAUUAUUAGCUCAAUAUACCCCUUCCUCUCUUGGAAAAUUCUAAUUUAUCCCAUCAAUUAAAACAAUUUCUUUUUUAUUUAUUUUUAAAUUCGAAACCGAGUUAAAGACCUUUGUACCCUUAAUAAAAUGGACUUAUUACUUUGACCCAACCUAACUAUCCGACUCCGACCCAAACCCAACCGGGUCAACCUCAGAUUUUUAACAUAAACUCUAAACGACGCCGUAAAAUGUUAUGUCUCUCAUUUCUCUAAAUCCCCAGUCUCGACUCUCUCUCGAGACGAGAGACGAUAGAAACGGCCACGGCUCCGACCCGACUUUCUCUUCUGUUUCCAUUAACAUCAAGCCUCCAAUCGAGCCUUCGUCGAUAUUCUUCAUCUUUCUUCUAACUUUCUUAGACCUAAACGCAAAGUCACGAAUCUUUUUCUUCUUCUUUCUCUCUCGUUCAAUUGAAAAGGCGACGACUAGUAACCCAAAUCCGCGAUUCUCUUUGUUUCUUCUUUAUUCUCCAUCGAAAUCAAUGUUUCAACCGACGGUCUUCAUCUUCUUCCUACUUUUGUAAAUCAUGGUUUGGGAUAUAGAGAAGAUGCAGGUUUAAACUUGGAGAGUGAUGCUGAUGAAUAACUCCGAAUCUAUAUUCCUUUUAACCAGUCUCUUAGUGGUGACUUGAGCUGUGAGAUUUUAAAUUUUUGUGAUCAGAAAAGACUCUGACCUUGGUAGAUUGUAUGUAGAGAUGAAGAGGCUUAAUAGAUGGAAUAUGUUUUUCUUGGUAGAUAGCUUGCUUAGAGGUGUCCUACUUGUGCUUAGUUGCUUAGAUUGAAUCUAGGGUUAGAUUUUUCUUUAAGUUCCAGUUAGCUACAAAGGAAUCAAAUAUUAUUAGCUGCUAUAAGAUCUUCUGCUGUCUUUAGUAACAGGACAAUGUUGUGGAACCGUUGCUUGUUGGCAAUACCGGUAGGACUUAAGCAAAAGGACAAUGUUGACGCUCUUGUACAGAAGUUUCUUCCGGAGAAUUUCACAGAGGUGAGUUGAGGAAGACAAGAACUGGGUCGACCGAUCUCGACAAGGAACCGUAUCAGCAAUAAUCGAAGGUUUAAGCGGAGUUGUGUGAUAUCAAGUUCAUUGCAGAGGCAAGCUGAACAUAUUACGAAAUAAACACAUACAGUUUUGUAAUCAAAUCAGAUUAAAUGUAGAAAAAGAUUUAAAUAUAUGUUAACAUUUAAUUAUACACUCGAUUUUUAUUAGUGUAGUUUUCAUUAUCUUCUUUAGAUGUGACACAUUCUCCUUUCAUCUUUGAUUAAUUCCCAUUA
Long non-coding RNA from Brassica napus (rape), 5914 nucleotides. RefSeq lists it as uncharacterized. The record is from RefSeq and is a predicted model, not a curated record. Lineage: Eukaryota; Viridiplantae; Streptophyta; Magnoliopsida; Brassicales; Brassicaceae. The transcript is spliced from 4 exons.